UACGGAGGGUGCAAGCGUUAUCCGGAUUCACUGGGUUUAAAGGGUGCGUAGGUGGGCGAGUAAGUCAGUGGUGAAAUCUCCGGGCUUAACCCGGAAACUGCCAUUGAUACUAUUCGUCUUGAAUGUUGUGGAGGUAAGCGGAAUAUGUCAUGUAGCGGUGAAAUGCUUAGAUAUGACAUAGAACACCAAUUGCGAAGGCAGCUGGCUACACGAAUAUUGACACUGAUGCACGAAAGCGUGGGGAUCAAACAGG
RNAcentral lists this ribosomal RNA (253 nucleotides) under uncultured bacterium. RNAcentral's name for it is "partial 16S ribosomal RNA". It matches the Rfam family "Bacterial small subunit ribosomal RNA", at positions 524 to 776 of the family's 1533-position model. The record is from RNAcentral.